GAUGAACGCUGGCGGCGUGCCUAAUACAUGCAAGUCGAGCGAACAGAUAAGGAGCUUGCUCCUUUGACGUUAGCGGCGGACGGGUGAGUAACACGUGGGUAACCUACCUAUAAGACUGGGAUAACUUCGGGAAACCGGAGCUAAUACCGGAUAACAUUUGGAACCGCAUGGUUCUAAAGUGAAAGAUGGUUUUGCUAUCACUUAUAGAUGGACCCGCGCCGUAUUAGCUAGUUGGUAAGGUAACGGCUUACCAAGGCAACGAUACGUAGCCGACCUGAGAGGGUGAUCGGCCACACUGGAACUAGGACACGGUCCAGAAUCCUACGGGAGACAGCAGUAGGGAAUCUUCGGCAAUGGGCGAAGGCCUGACGGAGAAACGCCGCGUGAGUGAUGAAGGGUUUCGGCUCGUAAAACUCUGUUAUUAGGGAAGAACAAAUGUGUAAGUAACUGUGCACGUCUUGACGGUACCUAAUCAGAAAGCCACGGCUAACUACGU
This 496-nucleotide ribosomal RNA is filed under the name uncultured bacterium. RNAcentral's name for it is "partial 16S ribosomal RNA". It matches the Rfam family "Bacterial small subunit ribosomal RNA", at positions 28 to 506 of the family's 1533-position model. The record is from RNAcentral.